CGCGUAGGCGGCGCCGGCAGUCGGCCGUGAAAGCCCGGGGCUCAACCCCGGAGGUGCGGCCGAGACGCCGGUGCUGGAGGCCGGAAGAGGAGGGUGGAAUACCCAGUGUAGAGGUGAAAUUCGUAGAUAUUGGGUGGAACACCGGUGGCGAAAGCGGCUCUCUGGUCCGGACCUGACGCUGAGGCGCGAAAGCGUGGGGAGCAAACA
This 207-nucleotide ribosomal RNA is filed under the name uncultured bacterium. RNAcentral describes it as "partial 16S ribosomal RNA". It matches the Rfam family "Bacterial small subunit ribosomal RNA", at positions 568 to 774 of the family's 1533-position model. The record is from RNAcentral.